GAUGAAGCACCAGCUUGCUGGUGUGGAUUAGUGGCGAACGGGUGAGUAACACGUGAGUAACCUGCCCCUCACUCUGGGAUAAGCCUGGGAAACUGGGUCUAAUACUGGAUACGACCGAUCUCCGCAUGGAGUGUUGGUGGAAAGUUUUUGUGGUGGGGGAUGGACUCGCGGCCUAUCAGCUUGUUGGUGGGGUAAUGGCCUACCAAGGCGACGACGGGUAGCCGGCCUGAGAGGGCGACCGGCCACACUGGGACUGAGACACGGCCCAGACUCCUACGGGAGGCAGCAGUGGGGAAUAUUGCACAAUGGGCGAAAGCCUGAUGCAGCGACGCCGCGUGAGGGAUGACGGCCUUCGGGUUGUAAACCUCUUUCACCAGGGACGAAGCUAACGUGACGGUACCUGGAGAAGAAGCACCGGCUAACUACGUGCCAGCAGCCGCGGUAAUACGUAGGGUGCGAGCGUUGUCCGGAAUUAUUGGGCGUAAAGAGCUUGUAGGCGGUUUGUCGCGUCUGCUGUGAAAGACCGGGGCUUAACUCCGGUUCUGCAGUGGGUACGGGCAGACUAGAGUGUGGUAGGGGAGACUGGAAUUCCUGGUGUAGCGGUGAAAUGCGCAGAUAUCAGGAGGAACACCGAUGGCGAAGGCAGGUCUCUGGGCCAUUACUGACGCUGAGAAGCGAAAGCAUGGGGAGCGAACAGGAUUAGAUACCCUGGUAGUCCAUGCCGUAAACGUUGGGCGCUAGGUGUGGGACUCAUUCCACGAGUUCCGUGC
This 770-nucleotide ribosomal RNA is filed under the name Dermacoccus sp. Its description in RNAcentral is "bacterial SSU rRNA". It matches the Rfam family "Bacterial small subunit ribosomal RNA", at positions 68 to 846 of the family's 1533-position model. Lineage: Bacteria; Bacillati; Actinomycetota; Actinomycetes; Micrococcales; Dermacoccaceae. The record is from RNAcentral.